GGGCCCGCACAAGCAGUGGAGUAUGUGGUUUAAUUCGAAGCAACGCGAAGAACCUUACCAAGCCUUGACAUCUCCUGCAUAGCAUAGAGAUAUGCGAAGUCCUUCGGGACAGGAAGACAGGUGGUGCAUGGUUGUCGUCAGCUCGUGUCGUGAGAUGUUGGGUUAAGUCCCGCAACGAGCGCAACCCUUACUGAUAGUUACUACGCAAGAGGACUCUAUCGGGACUGCCGUUGACAAAACGGAGGAAGGCGGGGAUGACGUCAAAUCAUCAUGCCCUUUAUGGCUUGGGCUACACACGUACUACAAUGGCCGCAAACAAAGGGGACCGAAGGGGCGACCCGGAGGGAAUCCGAUAAAAGCGGUCUCAGUUCGGAUCGCAGGCUGCAACUCGCCUGCGUGAAGUCGGAAUUGCUAGUAAUCGCGGAUCAGCAUGCCGCGGUGAAUACGUUCCCGGGCCUU
RNAcentral lists this ribosomal RNA (459 nucleotides) under uncultured bacterium. RNAcentral describes it as "bacterial SSU rRNA". It matches the Rfam family "Bacterial small subunit ribosomal RNA", at positions 917 to 1382 of the family's 1533-position model. The record is from RNAcentral.